GCCUUCGUAGUGUAAUGGUCAGCACACUCGGCGCGUAUUCGAGAGGUCCGAGGUUCGAGUCCCGGCGAGGGCA
Molecule: transfer RNA, 73 nt
Filed under: Stegodyphus mimosarum
Lineage: Eukaryota; Metazoa; Arthropoda; Arachnida; Araneae; Eresidae
Rfam family: tRNA
About the family: Transfer RNA (tRNA) molecules are approximately 80 nucleotides in length. Their secondary structure includes four short double-helical elements and three loops (D, anti-codon, and T loops).
Source: Rfam by way of RNAcentral